UACAGAGGUCUCAAGCGUUGUUCGGAUUCAUUGGGCGUAAAGGGUGCGUAGGCGGCGCGGUAAGUCGGGUGUGAAAUCUCGGAGCUUAACUCCGAAACUGCAUUCGAUACUGCGGGUCUCGAGUCCGGGAGAGGUGAGUGGAAUUCCUAGUGUAGAGGUGAAAUUCGUAGAUAUUAGGAAGAACACCAGUGGCGAAGGCGGCUCACUGGCCCGGUACUGACGCUGAGGCGCGAAAGCGUGGGGAGCAAACAGG
RNAcentral lists this ribosomal RNA (253 nucleotides) under uncultured bacterium. RNAcentral's name for it is "partial 16S ribosomal RNA". It matches the Rfam family "Bacterial small subunit ribosomal RNA", at positions 524 to 776 of the family's 1533-position model. The record is from RNAcentral.